This 495-nucleotide ribosomal RNA is filed under the name uncultured bacterium. RNAcentral describes it as "partial 16S ribosomal RNA". It matches the Rfam family "Bacterial small subunit ribosomal RNA", at positions 30 to 507 of the family's 1533-position model. The record is from RNAcentral.
UGAACGCUGGCGGCGUGCCUAAUACAUGCAAGUCGAGCGAACGGACGAGAAGCUUGCUUCUCUGAUGUUAGCGGCGGACGGGUGAGUAACACGUGGAUAACCUACCUAUAAGACUGGGAUAACUUCGGGAAACCGGAGCUAAUACCGGAUAAUAUUUUGAACCGCAUGGUUCAAAAGUGAAAGGCGGUCUUGGUGUCACUUAUAGAUGGAUCCGCGCUGCAUUAGCUAGUUGGUAAGGUAACGGCUUACCAAGGCAACGAUGCAUAGCCGACCUGAGAGGGUGAUCGGCCACACUGGAACUGAGACACGGUCCAGACUCCUACGGGAGGCAGCAGUAGGGAAUCUUCCGCAAUGGGCGAAAGCCUGACGGAGCAACGCCGCGUGAGUGAUGAAGGUCUUCGGAUCGUAAAACUCUGUUAUUAGGGAAGAACAUAUGUGUAAGUAACUGUGCACAUCUUGACGGUACCUAAUCAGAAAGCCACGGCUAACUACGUG